This 292-nucleotide ribosomal RNA is filed under the name uncultured bacterium. Its description in RNAcentral is "partial 16S ribosomal RNA". It matches the Rfam family "Bacterial small subunit ribosomal RNA", at positions 505 to 796 of the family's 1533-position model. The record is from RNAcentral.
GUGCCAGCAGCCGCGGUAAUACGGAGGAUGCAAGCGUUAUCCGGAAUUAUUGGGCGUAAAGCGUCCGCAGGUGGUUGAACAAGUCUGCUGUUAAAGCGCGGAGCUUAACUCCGUAAGGGCGGUGGAAACUGUUUAACUAGAGUACGGUAGGGGUAGCGGGAAUUCCCGGUGUAGCGGUGAAAUGCGUAGAUAUCGGGAAGAACACCAGCGGCGAAAGCGCGCUACUGGGCCGUAACUGACACUCAUGGACGAAAGCUAGGGGAGCGAAAGGGAUUAGAUACCCCUGUAGUCC